Long non-coding RNA from Mercenaria mercenaria, 2155 nucleotides. RefSeq lists it as uncharacterized. NCBI's taxonomy places the organism in Eukaryota, Metazoa, Mollusca, Bivalvia, Venerida, Veneridae. The transcript has 4 exons. The record is from RefSeq and is a predicted model, not a curated record.
GAUUUCUUGAAUCGGAAAGUAGGUCAUCUGAUAAAACUUGUAAUAAUUAGCACAGCGGAGACUUAUAAUCGUAGAUUUUGCUUGCAGAUUAUAUGAAAGGGGUAAUGUUUUGUCAAACAGAUGAUUUUAAAGGUCUCUAAAACAUUAACUGCUUUCUCCCAGCCAAGACCAGACCUUUUACUUGGUCAGGAAAUACUGACGUGUUCUUACCUGAUUGUAUUCCUUUAAUGCCAGUGAAUUGAGGCGGAGUGUUUUCUGCCCAAACAGUUUUUCCAAGAUGAAUAUUAUCAAAAAUGUCAACCGUCAGCUCUGGAAUGUCAAGAUCUAACAACUGCUUACGAAGUUCAGAAACAGCUUCAAUAUCUUCCUCUGAGCUGAGAAUGACAACAUCUUUGCAACCUGUUUUAAUAUAAACAACACAUAACGUGAUUAUGUGAUCACUAUCAACAUCAUCCAGGUCUACCUAGUUUUCAUCACGUCCAGAGAACGUGUAAAGUACAACAGAAAACAAACACGGUCAGUGCGUUACGUAUCGACAAACGCCGUCGGUACGAUACCUCAAUAUGGUACAUGACAAACCCCCAUUAGUGAACUAUAACGAAAACACCACCAUAACGAUUCAUUAUGGUGAACAGUUGCAGCUGCUUUUUUUGUUUUCUGAAAUAAAAAAACCCCAACAACAUGAGAAUCCACCUGAAGGACAAAGAGAAAUGCUUGACUAAUUGUCCUACAACGUCCAGAAGCUCAAAACUACUCGCUUACAGUUGGCGCAAUUUUCUUUAACCGAGUUUGCAUACAAUUUGAAACUGGCGAUGAGAAAUACCUAGAUUAGAUAAGGUAGUGGACCUGUUAUGAUAAUCACUUAUUUCUGAUCGACUACGUUUUUUCUGUAAGUGACAUCGGCAUCUCCGGUUAUUACGGAAACCAUUGCUCGUACAGACUAUAUCUAUGGCGGCAGAAUAAGAGAACAUUGGACUUUGUGUUGUUAUAUUUCCUUAUUUUCUGUUCUUUUUGGCUAGUGGGAUACAUAAAAUGUAGCUAUAUAAUAAUUUACAACUGGGGUCAGAGGAGUGUAGCACAUUUUGUAAUUUGUCAAAACACGCAUGCCAAAUACAUCCGAGCAUGCUUUUCACAUGCUUUGGUGCUCAUUUUCUGUAACUGAUGGUGUGAUAAUUCACAUAUAUUCAUAACUUUGUCAAGAGAUAAAUUGCUGUGGUCUCCACAUACUUGCAUUUUUACAGGCAAUAUAAAUGCUAAAACGGACGAGAAAAGUUACAUAAAUGGCAAUGUUCAUAUUUUUGUUUUCCUCUUUGUAUCUAUAUGUACGUGUAAACUAAUUUUUGUGCAUUUUCAUGCAAUUGUUAUACUGUGGUCAGUAUAAGUGAGCUUUGUCAACACUACUUCAUUGGCAACUGGUUUUCAGUUUAUUAUUACUACAUUAUAUAUAUCGCCGGUCCAUAUUUUGUACUAUAUGACUGGUCAAUAUUCAACACAUGUUUACUGGGCGAAUAAGUAAAAAAAUCAAAAGUAAAACUAUUAAAAUCAACUACUCUUGUCAUGUAAUGGAAACACCGACUAGCUUUUGGUCAAAAUGUCGGACCUCGAACAAUUGUUUUGGCAAUUGACCAGCAUGUCAUUAAUUGGGUGUAUGAUACAUCUAAAUAAAUCUUCCUGUUUCAUUUUAUUAGUUAUUUAAAGUCGAAACUGAACAGUAUGAUACCGACGACCCAAACUCGUGAUGUUAUCUACAUUGUAAAUCAUAUGUUGAAUGUAUUAUAUCUAUACCGUGUAAACAGUGUCAUUUUAUCUUUUCUGAUUACAUAUUAUAGCAUUGUGUCAAUGUCAAUGACACACUAUGUAUCCACUAUGAUAAUCAUUAUUUUAGUCCCUACUGUUUGAACCCAGAUUUUGGGACUCGUCUGUCAGUUCGUGUGUCCGUCCCAUCGCAAUUAGGUCAAUACCUUUGUCAUGCAGAUUUUCACCAUAAUAAGGCUAUUCAAACACUCAAAGAUUUUCUGUCUACGCUUGGCAACAGUCUCAAAUUACCAAAACGUUUAUUACUAGUUAUUUAUUUGAAAAGGGUUUAUAUCAAUAUUAUUCUAACUUCAAAGUCUUUGCUUUGUCAAUUGAAGAACAUAUUGGAGUUUUCUGUGAA